RNAcentral lists this long non-coding RNA (3971 nucleotides) under Sorghum bicolor (sorghum). RNAcentral's name for it is "long non-coding RNA (SBIC_LNC002327)". Lineage: Eukaryota; Viridiplantae; Streptophyta; Magnoliopsida; Poales; Poaceae. The record is from RNAcentral.
GCUUGGGGGAGUACUUUACAUAAAAACAUCCUUUGCCAUGUUGCUAUGUUGGUUGUCCCUACCUUUAAGACAUGCUCAAUUUGUUAAAUACUAAUCACACUGCUUCAUCUCCACGCGAGUAGAUCUCUAUAAAUGCUGUCAUGUUACCUUUGUCUAUUUACUAGUAAGUGUUAGUUUGGAAGUACUGCACAUACUUCUAUUGGCUUUUAAAUUAAGCAUGGUGCUUAGGUUAAACAGCCUUCCUUAAUCUCAUUAGACAUGGAGUCUAGUUCGGUUAUUGAACUAAAAACUGCUUGUGUAGACAUUAGUAUAUUUUUGUCGGAUUAACCCCUGCAGAAAAACUUUCAAUAUCGAUUUGGGAAGUCCUGAGAUAAAUUCACAUCAGAGACGAAGAGAGUGACACAUGAAGUUUAACAAUUUGCACAAGAAGGACAUAGCUCAUUCAUCAUAGAGAGAUGAUCCAUGGAGGGUGCCACAAACACGAUGCACAAAAGCUAAGUAAGGAAAGCUUCCACAAGGUGAUACUGUACCAUCACUCUUCAAGCAAGGUAACAUCUUAAGGUACUUGACUAUCACUUUUAUAAGCUUCUCCAUGGUUCUGGCGUUCAUAUAAAUAAAAGAGACAAACAUGUAUGAUUUACAACUCUAGAUUAACCAACCCAACUGAUUCAACAUGUUUAGUCCUUUAAUCCUUGUUCUUAGUACUACUUCCAUGAUCCCACACUCCUAAUCAUAUGAGCUAAAAUUUUAUACAUUCAAUCAUUGAGAGAUAUAAAGAAAAAGACAUAUACAUAGAUAGAUUAUCUUUCCAUAAGGUUGAGCGAUCUGAUCUGACAAAUGUUAUAAGUGCUACACUCAUGAACUUUUCAUCCAUCAACUUUGUCUUGCUCACUAUGCUUAGGGUUAGAGAAGAACAAAUACACUUUAGGUUCUGUUGGUGUUUUCCACCAACAGGACCCAUGCACUUGAUCUCUGCCUUGUCUCUAUGAGCAGGUACACUUUGAGCAAAACAUGGAGGAGUUUUAUAACUCUCAAACUCUACUAAGUGAAGGACCUAGAUCUACGAGCACAAACACACUGAGCAGGUUACUGCCAACGCCGUACUUCGAACUGCUGGGCAAACGAAGAGGUGCAGACGUCAAGGUCCGCACCUGAAUCAAAUGACGCACCUGAAGAAUGUACACGGUGAGAAGUCUUGUUAAGAAGACUUAAAACAUUGAACCCUCGCCGAAAGGUAAGAUCGGUAGUUAUCCAUAUUUAUCCUUCCGCAUUCCCUUUUCCCUUUAAUUAUUUACUUUCCUUAAAUAGAUUAUUAGUUAAUCAUGCUAUCUUGAAAAGAAAAUAAAAAUGUUAAAAAAUACUAAGCCCCAUGUGAGUAUACGAGUGGCAUAAAACCCAUAAGUACCUUCACUGUGGUGGCAUAAAAAUAAAAUAAAUAUUUCUUUUCUGCUUUAUAAAAUAAAAAUAUAAAAACAGGGAGUAAUAUUUAUUGAGGAAGCUCAACAUGAUGAAGGCUAGAUAUUUAUGCUAACACUUAAUUAGUUCCACAAGCUUUGUUGUCUAUUUGAGCUCCACAGAAUUUAAGAAUCAAGAAGACUAGCAGACGGAGGACAUUCUAAUCGCUGUCAGAAUGCUGCUGACUUUCAAAUACACCUCUUCCACCUGCUAGCUACAUCAAGAGAAAUUACGUCAAAAUUCAGCUUGGGGAGAGCACCCCCAUUUAUCUCGCUAAGUAUUUCUACCUAUCUUUAUACUUAUAUUAUAUUAGAAUAUUAAAAUACAUAAACUAUGAAAAACCAAAUAAAGAUUUUGUGCUUAUAUAUAUAUAUAUAUCUUUUGCUUAGUGUGUUUAAUAAAUAAAGUGGCUAUGAUAAUCUGAAUCUUAAUAAUAAAACUCUAGCAUGGAUAUGAUGAAUAGUUGCUCUGCCUAAUUUGCAAAUUUGAAGUUCUCUCUCAAGUUUAGACAUAACUGUUAUAAUUUAAAGCUUGCUCUAGGUCUAAACUUGUGGGAUGAAAACUUUAUCUGAAAUCUAAGUUGUCAACGGAUAUGAUAUGGGAAGGUUGAGCUGCUGUUUAUCUAUUCCUAGAGAUGCUAGAAUUCUGGAGAAUUUUAUCUUUGAAAAAUCUUUAAAAUAUUGCAUGAUGAGUUCCUGUAUGAUGAGAGUUUAAAUUCCUACCACAACCAUAUAUAUACAUGCUUGCUAGACUUUGAGCCACACAUUUAUUAUUUACUGCUUAUGAGCAUUGAGUGUGGUCAAGCUAUGUAGACCCUUAGGAGCUUGUCAUGUGGUUAAAUCAAGAAUCACUUGCACGUUCACUCAUAUAUGCUACUUCUACUCCGGAAGUACCAUCCACAUAUAUCCAUCCAUGUCCAUCUCUAGAACCACCCAAAAAUAUUCUACUCCUAAUUCGGGAGAGAAUAGCCAAAAAUAUUUCUGUUUUCCCUUGUGAAAUAAAUGCUCAAGUUAUCUUGCUACUACCACUUGCUAUAUUAUCUCAAGAGAUGAGUGCUCUGAAAAAAAAGAAAAAAAAAUAAACGAGGAAAUAAAAAGGGGCCCGGAACCUCGAAAGAAAAAACAAGAGUGAGACGAGAGGUAAAAAUGGACAAGUGUCCGACAGUAGAAUUAGGGGUACAGGAUACCCACCUGAGAGGAAAGAAAAAUGAAAGAUAGAGCAUCUCAUUCUCCUCAUAAAGUUUCAAAAAGCGAGGAAGGUAUGUAUCCCCUCAAAAGAGCAAAACUACAAUUAGACUUCCACCAUUGUUAUCACCAUCAUCACCAUACACCAUUCAUUCGCCACACAUGCACAUCUUGAUUUGGCUUAUUGAUUUGUUUCUUUGGAUCCAUGGUUUGACUAUACAAUAAAUGUCUUGUAAGUAUGUAUACUUUAUCUCCCACCUAUGAGCUCCAGAUAUUAAAGCCUUAUUAGAGUAGGGUGAGAGAGAAGGCAAUGUCACUAUGCCUUAUACCACAAAUACCACAUAUCUUGAGAGAAGGCAUAUACCAUCACUGCCUUGGUAAGGAUCCAGAAAUACCACAAAAGAGAGAUUUAGAGAGUCAUACAAGGAAUCUCUGAGUUUUAUUUGAAACUCUGCAAAAAAACCAGAGCUAUAGCUGAUCAAGAAUAAGAGACAUGGCACUUGGCUAGACUGUUCUAUCUUUUAACUACUCAAGACAGAAGUGACGGUUACAAGUCCCAUGGUGAAAGGUAAAGUAAGUAAGUUUUAGUUCUUGACAGUUUACUCUAACUCAGAGAUGAGAUCUUAUUUAAAAGCAUGUGUACCGUCAAAUUUUUAAGAUAUUGCAACAACUUCUGAUCCAUUGCUGAGUCUAUCCUUGCUCAGGGACGAGCAAGAGGUAAGCUUGGGGGAGUUUGUUGACGGUCCUUAAGUAUCAAAUUUAAUUAUCAAAUAAAUAAAGAAAAGGAUCCAAAUGAAAUCAACAUCUAGACUUAGGGUUUUAUCUGACAGAAUUCCACGAGUUUUGGUGUUUGUCUAUUUCUGCAGGGGGUUAUCAGGAAAUAUGGAAGAAAGGCCCACACGUCGGGAUUACAUAGAGAUAUUAACGUGCCGCGCAAUUAUCUCACAUCUAGAAGACUCCAGAAGCCACGGGAAGCAAGCGGAGACCGAACGGGGCCAGAGGAAGGGCGCUCGCCCUCCUGCCCUGGGCGCCCGCCCACCUCUGGAGGCCAAUCAGGACUCUUUCUCUCGGGAGAUCUCCACCGACCUAAAGGAUCAAGGAUAACCGUCCAAUCAAUGUCGAUUUGAUCCAACGGCCCAGGUUCACUUGAGGGGACUAUAAAACCAGACCCCCUGGCCCCUGGAGGAGGCACCCCUUGAUCAUUAUUCAUUAUUCAUAGACAGAGCAAAAGCUAGGGUUUAGAGAUGAGAGCUCUCCUCUCUUCUCUAAACUAGAGUAGAUCUAGAUAGUAGCAAGAUGGAGAGCGAAGGAGGAUUAGAGGAGAGGCCGGCC